AAAAGGUCGGAUGGCGGAAGCACUGCCAACCCCGUCAGAUCCGAAAGGAAGCAGCGGUAACAGACGCUUCCGGGUGUCCGACCUACAAAA
This 90-nucleotide signal recognition particle RNA is filed under the name Desulfovibrio sp. RNAcentral's name for it is "signal recognition particle sRNA small type". It matches the Rfam family "Bacterial small signal recognition particle RNA". Rfam says of the family: The signal recognition particle (SRP) is a universally conserved ribonucleoprotein involved in the co-translational targeting of proteins to membranes. Archaeal SRP consists of a 7S RNA and homologues of the eukaryotic SRP19 and SRP54 proteins. In most bacteria, the SRP consists of a 4.5S RNA and the Ffh protein (a homologue of the eukaryotic SRP54 protein). The record is from RNAcentral. Lineage: Bacteria; Pseudomonadati; Thermodesulfobacteriota; Desulfovibrionia; Desulfovibrionales; Desulfovibrionaceae.